Molecule: long non-coding RNA, 108 nt
Organism: Hippocampus comes (tiger tail seahorse)
Lineage: Eukaryota; Metazoa; Chordata; Actinopteri; Syngnathiformes; Syngnathidae
Exons: 3
Source: RefSeq, a predicted model, not a curated record
UUUUCCCCUCCAGCAUGUCUUGCUACAGUACAAGCAGAAACCGAAAGCUCCUCAUCUUUGAGUACAAGUGGAAACCAAGCAGAAAAAAAAUAAUGUGUGUGUGUGUGU